RNAcentral lists this long non-coding RNA (282 nucleotides) under Mytilus galloprovincialis (Mediterranean mussel). Lineage: Eukaryota; Metazoa; Mollusca; Bivalvia; Mytilida; Mytilidae. The record is from RNAcentral.
GGUCCUCACUGAAAUUUACUCCUAAAUAUUUGCUGGUUGGUACAGUUUCGAGAGUGUGGCCAUGUAAUUUGUAGAAUGUCUCUUUUUUGGAUUUACUGUUGGUGCUAAUGCGGAUGACAGUGCAUUUUUCUGGGUGGAAUUUCAUCUGCCAUUUGGUUUCCCAGUCUUCUAGUGCUGAAAGGUCCUGUUGUAGUUUGGCUUCAUCCUGGGAAUUCUUGAUAUGGUGGAAUAGUAGGCAGUCGUCAGCAAAUAGUUUGACAGUUGAAUGUUGAACUGUUUCUG